Molecule: long non-coding RNA, 1684 nt
Organism: Helianthus annuus (common sunflower)
Lineage: Eukaryota; Viridiplantae; Streptophyta; Magnoliopsida; Asterales; Asteraceae
Exons: 11
Source: RefSeq, a predicted model, not a curated record
AAAAAAAAAAACACGGAUACCACCACAUUAGGGUUUCAGGUCUCUCAUUUCUUAUCCGCCUCCAUCUACUGUCUCCUUCUCUAGCGAUUCAAGAACUGCGCGAUUCCUCUUUAUAUCUAGAUCUGUGUUUGUUUCUUCUUUAGAUCUAUGAUUCCUCUUCAGAUCUGCGCAAUUAGCCAGCUUCACACCCACCUUGUAGCCAUGAUUUCUGGUAGAUCUGAGCCACAUCAUUUUGCUGUACUUUUCAAGUCUUCCUCUUUCCUGAAGCCAUCUUCAUCACUAUGGAUGAUGAAAUAUCUCCAUUUGUAACAUUGGCUGAGUACACAACUUUAGAUCUUCAUCACUGUCGACGAUGAAAUGUCUCCGGAACUGCUAAUCAUAUUUACGUUUUGGUAUUUGUUUUACUUGAAGGUUUUGAUGUAAAAGAAGAAAAGGUUUUGACAUAAAAUAAGAAAAGAUGUGGGGGAUUUUAAGGCAAAAAGCCGGAGGAGUUACCGGAUUAUCCUCUCAGGGUUUGGGGAAUCAGAUGUUGAGGUUAAGGCAUGUAGCUUCAGCUAUGAGAAGUUUUGCCGUACUUUUCGAGUCUUGGCUUUCCUGAAGCCAUCUUAAUCACUGUCGACGAUGAAAUAUCUCCGAGGAUUUUGUACAGGCUAUUACUCUUCCUCUUGCAAUCGAGACUUCUUGUGAAGGUCUAGAAUGGGCUAGCUUUGGUGAGUGUGGCAGGUAUCACCUAUAAGGAAUGGGCACCUGGAGCUGAUAUCCUUUUUAUUAAAAAAAUUAUAGUCUGCUUCGCUUUUUGAAGAUUUCAAUAGUUGGAAUCCAAAUGCUGAUGUUAUGACCAAGAGUGAAAAAUGGAUCCUAUCGCAUUGACAUAUGGCUACUGUAUUGGGCCGCCAGUUUAAGCUUCGUAGAAGGCCCAGGUCAGUUGGGGUUAUGCUUGUUUGUGGUCUACAGGUGGCAGUUGGCCUAGCAAUGGCUGAAACUAAGGUUCAAGGCCCAGCGUUGGUUUAAUUUGCAGAUUAAAGAUAGCCAGGUACUCUCCCAUGGGACGAUCAUUCUAUUCUCCUGAUCUGGGUUGUAGACAGCCACUCGGUGAGGGGUUGGACGAUCAUUCUAUUCUUCUAUGCACGCGUCCAUAUCCACCUCUGAGAUCUUAAACCAAUCUUACCUUAACAUCAUAUGUUUGAGCAUAUUGACCAAAAAUCAGAUUUACAUGUCAAGUUCCCUUCGCUUUCCAACAAUUGCUACCGAACUCAGUUGGAGGUAUAUCACAUCUUUCUCGGAUUCAUGUAAACGAACCAUAUAUGACUACAGGACGGGUUGGUAAUAGGUCAAAGUGGUUUCAGGAUAAACCAAAUGGAUUCAUGUGAUCACCACAUUCUUGUUUUUACAUGGAGGCAGACGAAGCCAAUGAUGAUAUGUCCUCAGCAAAAGACGGUGAAACAAUAAACAAGGCUGAGUGAGUAAUCAAGGGUUCACUGGAAUGACGAAGAACAAAGUUGAUAUGUUCCCCUAUCGCUUAUUAAUUUUGUUUCUCUUCUCAUUACAGAUUCAUCUUCAAUACCAAUACAUGUGGCUUCACCUAUAUUAAAGAUUUCAUAUUAUAAAAGUUGUACUUGCAUGAAUCCUAAAUGAAUUUAGCAUUGUUUAUUCACUUGCAUAUAUGUGAAUUUAGGCUUUGUUA